This 254-nucleotide ribosomal RNA is filed under the name uncultured bacterium. RNAcentral's name for it is "partial 16S ribosomal RNA". It matches the Rfam family "Bacterial small subunit ribosomal RNA", at positions 524 to 776 of the family's 1533-position model. The record is from RNAcentral.
UACGUAGGGGCCUAGCGUUGUCCGGAAUUAUUGGGCGUAAAGAGCUCGUAGGCGGUUCGGCAAGUCGGAUGUGAAAUCUCCACGCUUAACGUGGAGGGGCCAUUCGAAACUGCUGUGACUCGAGUCCGGUAGGGGAGUGUGGAAUUCCCGGUGUAGCGGUGAAAUGCGCAGAUAUCGGGAGGAACACCAGUAGCGAAGGCGGCACUCUGAGCCGGAACUGACGCUGAGGAGCGAAAGCGUGGGGAGCGAACAGG